This 1381-nucleotide long non-coding RNA is filed under the name Sus scrofa (pig). RNAcentral's name for it is "lncRNA (ENSSSCG00045009502.1, ENSSSCG00055009620.1, ENSSSCG00065031840.1)". Lineage: Eukaryota; Metazoa; Chordata; Mammalia; Artiodactyla; Suidae. The record is from RNAcentral.
GGAGAAGUGAUUGACAGGACAGAGGGACGACUGAAUCCACAGUGGAGACCUCGCCGCCUAAGGAAGGAUGGAGGAGCACACAGGUGAAGGGAGAAAAGAAGUGAAACGCUUUCAGCACCCACGUUUCAGGUCAAAGUGACAUUUUAUUUCUUCGCCCCCACUGCCUAACAGGGUAGGGAUUAUUUCUCGCAUGUUACAGAUGAGGAACUGAAUUCAGGCAGGUGCCCAAGGCUACACGGUGCUUCCUGGCGGAAUGAGGAAUCUAGCUGGAGUCUGGCUUCCUCAAAACCCCUGGCCCCUGUAAACCUGCUGCCUCCAGCCCAGCUCAAAUCAUUGAUAUUCUGAUUGCAGCUCAUCAUAAACGGUAUUUACUCAAGUCCCACUGCUAAGGAUUAUUGAAGGAGAGGAAAAGAUCUUUUGAAAAUACCCUGUAACUCACAUUUUACCUGCCAGAUGGAACAGCCACAUUCCUGCAAAAAGAUCUCUUUGGUGUCUGGCUAACUAGAAGACCACUGGAUUCUGGCAUCGGAUUCUGCCUUGCAAAUUUCUGGCAACAGGCACUGGUCACCUAAGCCUGUUACCUGAGAGCCAUCUUCACUCUACCAAUGAGCGGGUCACCAAGUUCGGCUGAAUAGUCUGCCUGGCUUAUCUUCUGCCUGCCACUCACCAGCCCCAUGUCAGCAUCACGCAGGUGGCCAGUUUUCUUUUACAACUUGGUGGACUCAAAAAGAUGCGCAACCUAAAAGUUGAGAGUCAUGUGUUUAUUCAGUGGACAAAACUGAAGCCUUAAACCCAGGAGGCAGCAUCUCAAGUAACCCCAAAACGCCGCUCUGAGGAGGCAAGAGGAAGCUAGGGUGUACAGGGAAGACAGUGGCAACAGACAAUCACUGUUAAUAGAGGAAACCAGAUAUCUCAAGUUAAGGAAUUUAGUGAUUUUCUCCAAAUGGGAAGAUGCAACGUUCUGGGCUCACUGAGAUCUUUCCUUUGCGGUACACCUCGGGUCUCUGGGGCCAGGGUCCUGUGUUCUCACAUCCUGGGGAGUGGCUGCAGUCUGAUGGCUGCUGGACAGCAGGUGUCUAUGCUUCCUUCCUGCCUCCCUCAGGGCUCCCCUGGAGGUGGCUGCCAUCGCUGAUGACUGAGACAUCUUUGUUUAUGGAUAAGGCAGGCGCUAUUUUAUGUCUCAGGUACCAAGUGGGACCCCGAAGUCUGGCUAACCCUGACUUCACGUGUUCUCAGGGUGUAGGUUACAAUCUUACGGGUCUUGGGUGUCUAAGCCUCACCCAACAGCAUCACAGGGUGGAGCGUUGCGGAGGGGAUGGCAGAGAGAAAAGGGACCAAGGAACAUUCCAUCAGCUUCCACCUGUGCUGCACUCAAGCUCUU